UACGUAGGGUCCAAGCGUUAUCCGGAAUUACUGGGCGUAAAGCGCGUGUAGGCGGCCUAGUGUGUCGGGCGUGAAAUCCCACGGCUCAACCGUGGAAGUGCACUCGAAACUGCAAGGCUGGAGUACUGGAGAGGAUGGUAGAAUGCUCGGUGUAGAGGUGAAAUUCGUAGAUAUCGAGCGGAAUACCGGUGGCGAAGGCGGCCAUCUGGACAGUCACUGACGCUGAGACGCGAAAGCGUGGGGAGCAAACAGG
This 253-nucleotide ribosomal RNA is filed under the name uncultured bacterium. RNAcentral's name for it is "partial 16S ribosomal RNA". It matches the Rfam family "Bacterial small subunit ribosomal RNA", at positions 524 to 776 of the family's 1533-position model. The record is from RNAcentral.